UGCUGCCCUCUGCCUAAUUGGUGGAUCCAUGCGUCCUCCAAAUGCCACACCCAGCCCAGAGACUCGGGCUGAGAGGCCUGGGCCAAUUAAGAUGUUUCUGGCAGCAACAUCACCGUGCACCAGCCUGUGCUCUGACAUCAGAAGCGACAUCUAUUGAACGUCUGACCAUCCUGGAAGGGGGAUCCCUCGUCUGUGGCUCUCCCUGAGGUUUCUUUCUUUUUUUUUAUCCUGUUGAGGUUUUUUCAGGUAGUUUUUCCGGAUUCAAAGUGAGGAUCCAAGGUCAAAGGAGGGUGUAUGCUCAUCAUAAUGUAAAGCCCUGUGAGGAAAUUUGUGAUUUUGAGCUAUAUAAAUAAAAAAAUGAGUUGAAAUCAACUGAAAUAU
Long non-coding RNA from Centropristis striata (black sea bass), 381 nucleotides. RefSeq lists it as uncharacterized. Lineage: Eukaryota; Metazoa; Chordata; Actinopteri; Perciformes; Serranidae. The record is from RefSeq and is a predicted model, not a curated record. The transcript is spliced from 2 exons.